AUUGAACGCUGGCGGAAUGCUUCACACAUGCAAGUCGAACGGCAGCACGGACUUCGGUCUGGUGGCGAGUGGCGAACGGGUGAGUAAUACAUCGGAACGUGCCCAGUCGUGGGGGAUGACGUGGCGAAAGCUACGCUAAUACCGCAUACGAUCUAAGGAUGAAAGCGGGGGAUCGCAAGACCUCGCGCGAUUGGAGCGGCCGAUGGCAGAGUAGGUAGUUGGUAGGGUAAAGGCCUACCAAGCCGACGAUCUGUAGCUGGUCUGAGAGGAUGAUCAGCCACACUGGGACUGAGACACGGCCCAGACUCCUACGGGAGGCAGCAGUGGGGAAUUUUGGACAAUGGGCGCAAGCCUGAUCCAGCCAUUCCGCGUGCAGGAUGAAGGCCUUCGGGUUGUAAACUGCUUUUGUACAGAACGAAAAGGCUCUGGUUAAUACCCGGGGCUCAUGACGGUACUGUAAGAAUAAGCACCGGCUAACUACGUGCCAGCCGCCGCAGUAA
Molecule: ribosomal RNA, 500 nt
Filed under: uncultured bacterium
Lineage: Bacteria
Description: partial 16S ribosomal RNA
Rfam family: Bacterial small subunit ribosomal RNA
Source: RNAcentral